UCUGGUGAUUUGACGCCAUGGAACCACCCGUUCUCAUUCCGCACACGGAAGUUAAACGUGGUAGUGCCGAUGAUACUCAUUCUGUGGGAAAAGUAGGUAGUCGCCAGAA
This 109-nucleotide ribosomal RNA is filed under the name Elusimicrobiota bacterium. Lineage: Bacteria; Pseudomonadati; Elusimicrobiota. The record is from RNAcentral.